Molecule: non-coding RNA, 547 nt
Organism: Nicotiana tabacum (common tobacco)
Lineage: Eukaryota; Viridiplantae; Streptophyta; Magnoliopsida; Solanales; Solanaceae
Source: RefSeq, a predicted model, not a curated record
GUUUACAACUUGAUGUUUUUAUUCUCAUUCCUUUUCUUUUCUUGUUGCAGUGACUCAUACAUGGCUGAAAAUAUACAAAGUGAUAAGGUAAUGAUGGGUGAAAGUGGGGCUUCUAAUUCAAAUGCAACAAGUCAAGCUCAAACAACGGAGUCAAAUAUAACCAAAAAAGGAGAAAAAGGUCUGUUGUGUGGGAUCAUUUUACAGAAAUUAUUACUUCUGAAGGGAGUACAAAAGCAAAAUGUGACUAUUGCUUUAUUGAGUAUGUAUUUAAGACCAAAGACGCUAGAUUUCCUAUUCUUGCGGAGACGGCUCGUGAUAUAUUAGCUGUUUCGGUUUCAAGUGUGGCAUCCGAAUGUGCAUUUAGUUCGGGAGGACGUCUUCUUGAUUCAUUUAGGAGUUCAUUAACUCCUAAAUUGGUGCAAGCUCUAGUGUGUCUUCAAGAUUGGCUUCGAAAUGAAAAAUUAAAACAACCCAUUAGUGUUGAGGAAGAUCUUGAUAAAAUUGAGCAGCUUGAACAAGAUUUAGCCAGCAAUGGAAAAGACCCUUC